RNAcentral lists this unclassified non-coding RNA (270 nucleotides) under Hevea brasiliensis (rubber tree). The record is from RNAcentral. Lineage: Eukaryota; Viridiplantae; Streptophyta; Magnoliopsida; Malpighiales; Euphorbiaceae.
GUUGUCUUAUCUGUAACCUUUGUUCUAGCUUUUGGAGAGGUUAUUCCGCAAGCAAUAUGUACCAGAUAUGGAUUAGCUGUCGGCGCUAAUUUUGUGUGGCUUGUGCGCAUAUUAAUGAUCAUCUGCUAUCCGAUUGCUUAUCCUAUCGGGAAGAUUCUGGAUUGGGCACUCGGACAUAAUGAAUCUGCUCUUUUCAGACGUGCUCAGUUGAAAGCUCUUGUCUCGAUUCACAGCAAAGAGGCUGGUAAAGGUGGGGAGCUAACUCAUGAU